CUGGCCGGAAGUUUGUUCGUUCAAGCCUCAAUGCAGACCCCAGGCAUCGCCAUUGGUGGUGGUGGUUCUGCA
RNAcentral lists this transfer RNA (72 nucleotides) under Synechococcus sp. CC9902. RNAcentral describes it as "tRNA-Gln". The record is from RNAcentral. Lineage: Bacteria; Bacillati; Cyanobacteriota; Cyanophyceae; Synechococcales; Synechococcaceae.